UACGAAGGGGGCAAGCGUUGUUCGGAAUUACUGGGCGUAAAGGGCGCGUAGGCGGCUUAUCAAGUCAGGCGUGAAAUUCCCGGGCUCAACCUGGGGGCUGCGUUUGAUACUGAUGAGCUUGAAUGCGGGAGAGGAUAGUGGAAUUCCCAGUGUAGAGGUGAAAUUCGUAGAUAUUGGGAAGAACACCGGUGGCGAAGGCGGCUAUCUGGCCCGUGAUUGACGCUGAGGCGCGAAAGCGUGGGGAGCAAACAGG
Molecule: ribosomal RNA, 253 nt
Filed under: uncultured bacterium
Lineage: Bacteria
Description: partial 16S ribosomal RNA
Rfam family: Bacterial small subunit ribosomal RNA
Source: RNAcentral